RNAcentral lists this ribosomal RNA (324 nucleotides) under uncultured eukaryote. RNAcentral describes it as "partial 18S ribosomal RNA". It matches the Rfam family "Eukaryotic small subunit ribosomal RNA", at positions 1470 to 1796 of the family's 1831-position model. The record is from RNAcentral.
CCCUUAGAUGUUCUGGGCUGCACGCGCGCUACCCUGAUGCGAUCAACAAGUUUUUCCUAUGUCGAUAGACACGGGUAAUCUUUUGAACUCGCAUCGUGAUGGGGAUAGAUUAUUGUAAUUAUUAAUCUUCAACGAGGAAUUCCUAGUAGGUGCAAAUCAUCAGUUUGCAUCGAUUACGUCCCUGCCCUUUGUACACACCGCCCGUCGCUGCUACCGAUUGGUUGAUCUGGUGAAUUAUUCGGACUGCCGGCUGAAGGGGUUUCCUCAUCUGCCAGCGGAAAGUCUUGUUAACCCUAUCAACUAGAGGAAGCAGAAGUCGUAACA